RNAcentral lists this transfer-messenger RNA (358 nucleotides) under Nitrospinaceae. RNAcentral's name for it is "LS-NOB sp014382285 Standard tmRNA". It matches the Rfam family "transfer-messenger RNA". Rfam says of the family: Bacterial tmRNA, also known as 10Sa RNA or SsrA, is named for its dual tRNA and mRNA-like properties. Its role is to liberate the mRNA from a stalled ribosome. RNAcentral also lists the same sequence under 3 other names. The record is from RNAcentral. Lineage: Bacteria; Pseudomonadati; Nitrospinota; Nitrospinia; Nitrospinales.
GGGGGCGAUCUGGUUUCGACGGGAGAGCUGAUACAAGGGUUGCAUGCACGGGAUACCGUUGGCCCGUUAAAAAACGGUGUUUAUAUAAUCGCUAACGAUUAUGAUGUAGCUGUAGCCGCUUAAUUUAAACGGUUACCGUCCGCCGUGUCCAUGUUCGCGGGAUGCGGGUCGGACGUCACUCAGCGAACUGGUUUGGACCGCAUGUUCCGGGCGGACUGAACGAGAUUUUUAGGAACUGGCUUAGGCCCAAUCCUGCCUUGGGAGUUUGUCUAAGUGAGAUCUAAAUCAAAGGAUAAGCAUGUAGAGGCCUUUGCUUGAAACCUUUCGGACGGGGGUUCGAUUCCCCCCGCCUCCACCA